Molecule: RNA transcript, 2971 nt
Organism: Mus musculus (house mouse)
Lineage: Eukaryota; Metazoa; Chordata; Mammalia; Rodentia; Muridae
Gene: Sdccag8
Gene name: serologically defined colon cancer antigen 8
Exons: 17
Source: RefSeq, marked validated
CGCGCCAACCCGUCUCUUGGCAACAGCCUCAGGCCGCUAAACUGUCGGAGUGGCGCUCCGAGCGCAUAGCCCUCUGGGAAGCGUAGUAUAGCUGGAAGGCUCAUAGGACUCUCGAGGCUGCAGGCUUUAAGCCUGAGAACUACAAUUCCCGACGUUCACCAUGAGGGCCAGGGGGUAGGAAGAGCCCCUAGGAGCUCGGUCCGGGGUUCCUGGUUCCCUAGUGACAGCAGCGACAGGAAGCAGGCAGGCAUCCCCUCAUCCCCAGCGCUAGGCCUGUCCUCGGAGGGGUGCACUGGAUACUUUCCCGCAUAACUCCCAUCUCUGACCCCAUGGCGAAGUCCCCAGGGAACUCUACCCUGGAGGACAGUCUGGGGCAAUACCAACGGAGUCUCCGGGAACGUGCCAAUAGAAGCAUUCACCAGUUGAAAUGUGCCCUGAGAGAAGUGGAUGUCACUGUAGAAGAAGAUGCACUGGAUCCUUCCACCAGCAUCAACGUAGAAAAUGAGGACACAGGGGUGGCCUGGCAUGAGCUGCAGCACAGCCAUGCUGUCAAUCAACUGAAAGCUUUGUUGCGUCAACAAACAAAUAAGGAAAAUGAGACAUCUCCACCGCGAAGACGAAAGUUGUCCCCUUCGCGGCCGUCAGAAUGUGACGAUGGCAGCAUGCCCACCAUGCACAACCUCGUUCCUAUCAUUAACGACCAGUCUCAAUAUAUCCACCACUUAGAAGCAGAAGUCAAGUUCUGCAAGGAUGAAUUGUCUGGAAUGAAAAAUAGGGUGCAAGUAGUUGUACUUGAGAAUGAAAGGCUCCAGCAAGAACUGAAAUCUCAAAGACCGGAGGAGACAUUGAGGGAGCAAACAUUCCUGGAUGCAUCUGGAAACAUGCAGAAUUCUUGGAUUAUGACACGAGAAGAUUCUAGGGUGGAUGAAGCUGCAAAGAGACCAUUUUCUCAUGGUGAUGCUGAAACUGGCAAAACUGCAUCCACUGGUGAUGCCAAUAAAUGGAAGCUGGAGCUGGAGAGGCUGAAACUCACAUACGAGGCGAAGACUGACCUUCUGGAAUCUCAGCUGAUGCUUCUGAGGAAAGACUUAGCUGAAUACCAGAAAACCUGUGAGGAUCUUAAGGAAAGAUUGAAGCAUAAAGAGUCUCUUCUGGCUGCGAGUGCAUCCAGCCGUGUGGGUGGCCUCUGUUUGAAAUGUGCUCAGCAUGAAGCUGUUCUUUCCCAGACACACAGCAACGUGCACAUCCAGACCAUCGAGAGGCUGACUAAAGAGAGAGAUGACUUAAUGUCUGUGCUAGUCUCUGUGCGGAGCAGCUUGGCAGAAGCGCAGAAGAGAGAGACAAGUGCCUAUGAGCAGGUGAAGCAUGCUGUGCAGAUGACAGAGGAAGCCAACUUUGAGAAGACCAAGGCUUUGAUCCAGUGUGAGCAGCUGAAGAGUGAGCUGGAGAGGCAGACAGAAAGACUGGAAAAGGAGCUUGCCUCUCAGCAAGAAAAGAGGGCUGUGGAGAAGGAGAUGAUAAAGAAAGAAGUAGCCAGAGAGAGGGAAGAUGCAGAGUCAAAGUGUACUGGAAACCACUGUGCAGACAUUUCCAUCAAGCUCUCUCAACCUCGGCGUCCUUGUCUCUCCCUUGCCCCUGUCAAAGUUUAAAGGACUUACCUGAUGUCAGUGCCUUAGACAUCCAGCUGUGCUGCAGCUGUCUGUGUUACUUCUGGCUCUGCAACAGAUGUGGAUGGAGAAACUCCUGCAGUGUAAUGCUGACUUCCAGAUGAUGUUGAUCCUGUCUCAGAAUAUUGCCAAGCUGGAGGCCCAGGUUGAAAAGGUCACCAGGGAGAAGACUGCAGCUGUCAGUCACUUAGAGGAAAUUCAGAACCACGUUGCGUCUCAGGAAAUGGACGUCACAAAGGUGUGUGGAGAAAUGCGCUUUCAGUUGAAUAAAACCAAAAUGGAGAAGGAUGAGGUGGAAAAGGAACACAGAGAAUACAAAGCAAAGUCUCACAAGGAUCUUGAAAUGAAAGUCCAGGAAAUAGAGAAGUUGAGACUAGAACUGAGCGAAAGCGAGCAGCAUGUGGAACAGGAGCAGCAGAAGGCAGCUCGGGCCAGACAGGAGUGCCUGCGAGUCACAGAGCUGCUGGGCGAGGCCGAGCGCCAACUGCACCUCACCAGACUGGAAAAAGAUAGCAUUCAGCAAAGCUUUAGCAAUGAAGCAAAGGCCCAAGCCCUUCAGGCCCAGCAGAGAGAACAGGAGCUGACACAGAAGAUACAGCAAAUGGAGACCCAGCACGACAAAACUGAAAGUGAACAGUAUUUACUGCUGACAUCCCAGAACACAUUUCUGACAAAAUUAAAAGAAGAAUGCUGCUUGUUAGCCAAGAAACUGGAAAAGGUCUCACUAAAGAGCAGAUCGCAAAUAGUUCGACUUAGUCAAGAGAAGAGAUACUUGUGUGACAAGCUAGAGAAGUUACAGAAGAGAAAUGACGAACUAGAAGAGCAAUGCAUCCAACAUGGGAGGGUGCAUGAGACCAUGAAGGAAAGGUAAGGUGUGGGGAAUUGCAGGCUGGUAUCCAGUCGAGCUGAGGUCUGAACCCCGAUGGUCAUAAUUUACCUACAUGACACGGUAGGCAUUGCCUCAUGCUCCUGGAACUCUGGCCCCUGCCUAAGGUACUACCUCCCACAGCCCCCACAAGAGAAGCAUGGUCAGUAGUCACAUCAGCAAUGGCCCAAGCUUCUGACCUUCAGGCUAAACUCCUCCCCAGUUACCUAGCAACAGUGAAGACCAUAAAAAGGGGUGUUCAGCCCCACCAUGCUCUCUUACUCUUACUCGUUUGUCCUCUUACCUCUCACUUCUCUCUCCUCUUCCCUUUCUCUUUUCCUUCUCCUCUCCUCUCUCCUUUCUCUUUCUCUCUAGCCUCCCCCCCUCUUCUUUUCUACCUUCUCUUUCCCCUGCAUUUUUAUAAUAAAGCUCUUAAACC